UGUGAACGCUGGCGGUAGGCCUAGCACAUGCAAGUCGAACGGCAGCACAGUAAGAGCUUGCUCUUACGGGUGGCGAGUGGCGGACGGGUGAGGAAUACAUCGGAAUCUACUUUUUCGUGGGGGAUAACGUAGGGAAACUUACGCUAAUACCGCAUACGACCUACGGGUGAAAGCAGGGGAUCUUCGGACCUUGCGCGAUUGAAUGAGCCGAUGUCGGAUUAGCUAGUUGGCGGGGUAAAGGCCCACCAAGGCGACGAUCCGUAGCUGGUCUGAGAGGAUGAUCAGCCACACUGGAACUGAGACACGGUCCAGACUCCUACGGGAGGCAGCAGUGGGGAAUAUUGGACAAUGGGCGCAAGCCUGAUCCAGCCAUACCGCGUGGGUGAAGAAGGCCUUCGGGUUGUAAAGCCCUUUUGUUGGGAAAGAAAAGCAGCAGGUUAAUACCCCGCUGUUCUGACGGUACCCAAAGAAUAAGCACCGGCUAACUUCGUG
RNAcentral lists this ribosomal RNA (492 nucleotides) under uncultured bacterium. RNAcentral's name for it is "partial 16S ribosomal RNA". It matches the Rfam family "Bacterial small subunit ribosomal RNA", at positions 29 to 507 of the family's 1533-position model. The record is from RNAcentral.